RNAcentral lists this ribosomal RNA (229 nucleotides) under uncultured bacterium. Its description in RNAcentral is "partial 16S ribosomal RNA". It matches the Rfam family "Bacterial small subunit ribosomal RNA", at positions 568 to 796 of the family's 1533-position model. The record is from RNAcentral.
UCCGUAGGCGGGCAGCUAAGUCAGUGGUGAAAGUCUGCAGCUCAACUGUAGAAUUGCCAUUGAUACUGGUUGUCUUGAAUUAUUAUGAAGUGGUUAGAAUAUGUAGUGUAGCGGUGAAAUGCAUAGAUAUUACAUAGAAUACCAAUUGCGAAGGCAGAUCACUAAUAAUAUAUUGACGCUGAUGGACGAGAGCGUGGGGAGCGAACAGGAUUAGAUACCCUGGUAGUCC